ACCUGGAUGGCUCAGUCGGUUAAGCAUCUGACUUCAGCUCAGGUCAUGAUUUUGUUGUUCGUGGGUUUGAACCCCGCACCAGGCU
Molecule: transfer RNA, 85 nt
Filed under: Felis catus (domestic cat)
Lineage: Eukaryota; Metazoa; Chordata; Mammalia; Carnivora; Felidae
Rfam family: tRNA
About the family: Transfer RNA (tRNA) molecules are approximately 80 nucleotides in length.
Source: Rfam by way of RNAcentral